RNAcentral lists this ribosomal RNA (552 nucleotides) under Escherichia coli. RNAcentral's name for it is "bacterial SSU rRNA". It matches the Rfam family "Bacterial small subunit ribosomal RNA", at positions 993 to 1533 of the family's 1533-position model. Lineage: Bacteria; Pseudomonadati; Pseudomonadota; Gammaproteobacteria; Enterobacterales; Enterobacteriaceae. The record is from RNAcentral.
GAACUUUCCAGAGAUGGAUUGGUGCCUUCGGGAACUGUGAGACAGGUGCUGCAUGGCUGUCGUCAGCUCGUGUUGUGAAAUGUUGGGUUAAGUCCCGCAACGAGCGCAACCCUUAUCCUUUGUUGCCAGCGGUCCGGCCGGGAACUCAAAGGAGACUGCCAGUGAUAAACUGGAGGAAGGUGGGGAUGACGUCAAGUCAUCAUGGCCCUUACGACCAGGGCUACACACGUGCUACAAUGGCGCAUACAAAGAGAAGCGACCUCGCGAGAGCAAGCGGACCUCAUAAAGUGCGUCGUAGUCCGGAUUGGAGUCUGCAACUCGAUUCCAUGAAGUCGGAAUCGCUAGUAAUCGUGGAUCAGAAUGCCACGGUGAAUACGUUCCCGGGCCUUGUACACACCGCCCGUCACACCAUGGGAGUGGGUUGCAAAAGAAGUAGGUAGCUUAACCUUCGGGAGGGCGCUUACCACUUUGUGAUUCAUGACUGGGGUGAAGUCGUAACAAGGUAACCGUAGGGGAACCUGCGGUUGGAUCACCUCCUUACCUUAAAGAAGC